Molecule: ribosomal RNA, 189 nt
Filed under: uncultured bacterium
Lineage: Bacteria
Description: partial 16S ribosomal RNA
Rfam family: Bacterial small subunit ribosomal RNA
Source: RNAcentral
GCCUACAUGAAGCUGGAGUUACUAGUAAUCGCAGAUCAGAAUGCUGCGGUGAAUGCGUUCCCGGGUCUUGUACACACCGCCCGUCACACCACGGAAGUUGGGGGCGCCCGAAGCCACUUAGCUAACCCUUUUGGGAAGCGAGUGUCGAAGGUGAAAUCAAUAACUGGGGUGAAGUCGUAACAAGGUAUC